AUUGAACGCUGGCGGCAGGCCUAACACAUGCAAGUCGAACGGUAACAGGAAGCAGCUUGCUGCUUUGCUGACGAGUGGCGGACGGGUGAGUAAUGUCUGGGAAACUGCCUGAUGGAGGGGGAUAACUACUGGAAACGGUAGCUAAUACCGCAUAACGUCGCAAGACCAAAGAGGGGGACCUUCGGGCCUCUUCCCAUCGGAUGUGCCCAGAUGGGAUUAGCUAGUAGGUGGGGUAACGGCUCACCUAGGCGACGAUCCCUAGCUGGUCUGAGAGGAUGACCAGCCACACUGGAACUGAGACACGGUCCAGACUCCUACGGGAGGCAGCAGUGGGGAAUAUUGCACAAUGGGCGCAAGCCUGAUGCAGCCAUGCCGCGUGUAUGAAGAAGGCCUUCGGGUUGUAAAGUACUUUCAGCGGGGAGGAAGGGAGUAAAGUUAAUACCUUUGCUCAUUGACGUUACCCGCAGAAGAAGCACCGGCUAACUCCGUG
This 490-nucleotide ribosomal RNA is filed under the name uncultured bacterium. RNAcentral describes it as "partial 16S ribosomal RNA". It matches the Rfam family "Bacterial small subunit ribosomal RNA", at positions 30 to 507 of the family's 1533-position model. The record is from RNAcentral.